Lagopus leucura (white-tailed ptarmigan) is the source of this 253-nucleotide long non-coding RNA. RefSeq lists it as uncharacterized. The transcript has 3 exons. The record is from RefSeq and is a predicted model, not a curated record. NCBI's taxonomy places the organism in Eukaryota, Metazoa, Chordata, Aves, Galliformes, Phasianidae.
CAGCAGUCACAAGUGCUGCUUUGCCUGUGAGGAAGUGAAGGGUUUUCUGUUUAUUGCAUCACCCUGUGCUUGGUGGCCGUGACCUGGUCCUGGCUAUGCCCAGGGGGAUGCUAAAGACCUGCAGUAGCAAUAGGACCCCUAGUUGCUGAGACCACCGCAGGAAGGAACUUGGGAGGUGUCCAAAGGGUAACCAGACCAUGGAAAAUCACCAGGCAGGGGAACGGGGACCUGAAUUUUCCUGUGCUGUUGCAGA